UACAGAGGACGCGAGCGUUAUCCGGAGUUACUGGGCGUAAAGCGCGGGCAGGCGGUCUGACAAGUCUGAUGUGAAAUCUCCGGGCUUAACCGGGAGAGGCCAUUGGAAACUGACAGGCUGGAGGGCAGUAGAGGUAGGCGGAAUUCCGGGUGGAGUGGUGAAAUGCGUAGAGAUCCGGAGGAACACCAGAGGCGAAGGCGGCCUACUGGGCUGCACCUGACGCUGAGCCGCGAAAGCCAGGGGAGCGAACGGG
This 253-nucleotide ribosomal RNA is filed under the name uncultured bacterium. RNAcentral describes it as "partial 16S ribosomal RNA". It matches the Rfam family "Bacterial small subunit ribosomal RNA", at positions 524 to 776 of the family's 1533-position model. The record is from RNAcentral.